This 303-nucleotide ribosomal RNA is filed under the name uncultured bacterium. RNAcentral describes it as "bacterial SSU rRNA". It matches the Rfam family "Bacterial small subunit ribosomal RNA", at positions 767 to 1073 of the family's 1533-position model. The record is from RNAcentral.
AGCUAAUAGAUACCCAGGUAGUCCACGCCGUAAACGAUGAUGACUAGCUGUCUGGGCGCUUAGCGUUCAGGUGGCGCAGCUAACGCGUUAAGUCAUCCGCCUGGGGAGUACGGCCGCAAGGUUAAAACUCAAAGAAAUUGACGGGGGCCUGCACAAGCGGUGGAGCAUGUGGUUUAAUUCGAAGCAACGCGCAGAACCUUACCAGCGUUUGACAUGGUAGGACGGUUUCCAGAGAUGGAUUCUUCCCUUACGGGACCGUACACACAGGUGCUGCAUGGCUGUCGUCAGCUCGUGUCGUGAGAU